AAUAGAUGACGUCAUUGACUUUUUUUCACAUGUUUAACCAUUUGUCUUAUUCAAAAAAAUUUCAUAAUUAUAAUUUAUUUUAUGAUGAGUUGUUUUAUUACUCAUAGUACUUUAAGUGUGAUUUAUAUCUUAUACAUUUGCAUAAAAUUUUUGAAUAAGACGAAUGGUCAAACAUGUGAGAAAAAGUUAACGGCGUCAUCUAUU
Oryza sativa Indica Group (long-grained rice) is the source of this 204-nucleotide microRNA precursor. It matches the Rfam family "MIR812 microRNA precursor family". The record is from Rfam. NCBI's taxonomy places the organism in Eukaryota, Viridiplantae, Streptophyta, Magnoliopsida, Poales, Poaceae.